RNAcentral lists this ribosomal RNA (484 nucleotides) under uncultured bacterium. Its description in RNAcentral is "partial 16S ribosomal RNA". It matches the Rfam family "Bacterial small subunit ribosomal RNA", at positions 30 to 507 of the family's 1533-position model. The record is from RNAcentral.
AUUGAACGCUGGCGGCAGGCCUAACACAUGCAAGUCGAGCGGAUGAAGGGAGCUUGCUCCUGGAUUCAGCGGCGGACGGGUGAGUAAUGCCUAGGAAUCUGCCUGGUAGUGGGGGAUAACGUCCGGAAACGGGCGCUAAUACCGCAUACGUCCUGAGGGAGAAAGUGGGGGAUCUUCGGACCUCACGCUAUCAGAUGAGCCUAGGUCGGAUUAGCUAGUUGGUGGGGUAAAGGCCUACCAGGGCGACGAUCCGUAACUGGUCUGAGAGGAUGAUCAGUCACACUGGAACUGAGACACGGUCCAGACUCCUACGGGAGGCAGCAGUGGGGGAUAUUGGACAAUGGGCGAAAGCCUGAUCCAGCCAUGCCGCGUGUGUGAAGAAGGUCUUCGGAUUGUAAAGCACUUUAAGUUGGGAGGAAGGGCAGUAAGUUAAUACCUUGCUGUUUUGACGUUACCAACAGAAUAAGCACCGGCUAACUUCGUG